This 406-nucleotide ribosomal RNA is filed under the name uncultured bacterium. RNAcentral's name for it is "bacterial SSU rRNA". It matches the Rfam family "Bacterial small subunit ribosomal RNA", at positions 30 to 429 of the family's 1533-position model. The record is from RNAcentral.
AGUGAACGCUGGCGGCAGGCCUAAUACAUGCAAGUCGAACGGCAGCACAGCAGAGCUUGCUCUGUGGGUGGCGAGUGGCGGACGGGUGAGGAAUACGUGGGAAUCUGCCCAGUCGUGGGGGAUAACGUAGGGAAACUUACGCUAAUACCGCAUGCGCCCUUCGGGGGAAAGCCGGGGGACCUUCGGGCCUGGCGCGAUUGGAUGAGCCCACGUCGGAUUAGCUAGUUGGCGGGGUAAAGGCCCACCAAGGCGACGAUCCGUAGCUGGUCUGAGAGGAUGAUCAGCCACACUGGAACUGAGACACGGUCCAGACUCCUACGGGAGGCAGCAGUAGGGAAUAUUGGACAAUGGGCGCAAGCCUGAUCCAGCCAUGCCGCGUGAGUGAAGAAGGCCCUCGGGUUGUAAA